This 509-nucleotide unclassified non-coding RNA is filed under the name uncultured Glomus. RNAcentral describes it as "SSU rRNA". It matches the Rfam family "Eukaryotic small subunit ribosomal RNA", at positions 569 to 1081 of the family's 1831-position model. Lineage: Eukaryota; Fungi; Glomeromycota; Glomeromycetes; Glomerales; Glomeraceae. The record is from RNAcentral.
AGCAGCCGCGGUAAUUCCAGCUCCAAUAGCGUAUAUUAAAGUUGCUGCAGUUAAAAGCUCGUAGUUGAAUUUCGGGACCAUCAUGUCGGUCGUGCCUCGGUACGUACUGGCAUUGUUGGUUUCUACCUUCUGACGAACCAUGAUGUCAUUUAUUUGGUGUCGUGGGAAAUCAGGACUGUUACUUUGAAAAAAUUAGAGUGUUUAAAGCAGGCUCACGCUUGAAUACAUUAGCAUGGAAUAAUGAAAUAGGACGUUUGAUUCUAUUUUGUUGGUUUCUAGGAUCGACGUAAUGAUUAAUAGGGAUAGUUGGGGGCAUUAGUAUUCAAUUGUCAGAGGUGAAAUUCUUGGAUUUAUUGAAGACUAACUACUGCGAAAGCAUUUGCCAAGGAUGUUUUCAUUAAUCAAGAACGGAAGUUAGGGGAUCGAAGACGAUCAGAUACCGUCGUAGUCUUAACCAUAAACUAUGCCGACUAGGGAUCGGAUGAUGUUAAUUUUUAAUGUACUCAUUC